Molecule: ribosomal RNA, 253 nt
Filed under: uncultured bacterium
Lineage: Bacteria
Description: partial 16S ribosomal RNA
Rfam family: Bacterial small subunit ribosomal RNA
Source: RNAcentral
UACGUAGGGUGCAAGCGUUGUCCGGAAUUAUUGGGCGUAAAGAGCUCGUAGGCGGUCAGUCGCGUCUGCUGUGAAAACUCGGGGCUUAACUCCGGGCCUGCAGUGGGUACGGGCUGACUAGAGUGCGGUAGGGGAGACUGGAAUUCCUGGUGUAGCGGUGAAAUGCGCAGAUAUCAGGAGGAACACCGGUGGCGAAGGCGGCACUCUGGGCUGGAACUGACGCUGAGGAGCGAAAGCGUGGGGAGCAAACAGG